GGCUAGCGUUGUUCGGAAUCACUGGGCGUAAAGCGUGCGUAGGCGGCCAUUCAAGUCAGAGGUGAAAGCCCAGGGCUCAACCCUGGAACUGCCUUUGAAACUAGAUGGCUGGAACACGGGAGAGGUGAGUGGAAUUCCGAGUGUAGAGGUGAAAUUCGUAGAUAUUCGGAAGAACACCAGUGGCGAAGGCGGCUCACUGGACCGUUGUUGACGCUGAGGCACGAAAGCGUGGGGAGCAAACAGGAUUAGAUACCCUGGUAGUCCACGCCGUAAACGAUGAUAACUAGCUGUUGGGGCU
This 298-nucleotide ribosomal RNA is filed under the name uncultured Alphaproteobacteria bacterium. Its description in RNAcentral is "partial 16S ribosomal RNA". It matches the Rfam family "Bacterial small subunit ribosomal RNA", at positions 533 to 830 of the family's 1533-position model. The record is from RNAcentral. Lineage: Bacteria; Pseudomonadati; Pseudomonadota; Alphaproteobacteria.